This 394-nucleotide ribosomal RNA is filed under the name uncultured bacterium. Its description in RNAcentral is "bacterial SSU rRNA". It matches the Rfam family "Bacterial small subunit ribosomal RNA", at positions 505 to 898 of the family's 1533-position model. The record is from RNAcentral.
GUGCCAGCAGCCGCGGUAAUACGGAGGGUGCAAGCGUUAAUCGGAAUUACUGGGCGUAAAGCGCGCGUAGGCGGUUUGGUAAGUCGGAUGUGAAAUCCCCGGGCUUAACCUGGGAAUUGCAUUCGAUACUGCCAGGCUAGAGUGUGGAAGAGGGAAGCGGAAUUUCCGGUGUAGCGGUGAAAUGCGUAGAUAUCGGAAGGAACACCAGUGGCGAAGGCGGCUUCCUGGUCCAACACUGACGCUGAGGCGCGAAAGCGUGGGUAGCGAACAGGAUUAGAUACCCUGGUAGUCCACGCUGUAAACGAUGAGAACUAGAUGUUGGGGGGUAUAACCCCUCAGUGUCGCAGCUAACGCGUUAAGUUCUCCGCCUGGGGAGUACGGCCGCAAGGUUGAA